RNAcentral lists this long non-coding RNA (1225 nucleotides) under Salmo salar (Atlantic salmon). RNAcentral describes it as "lncRNA (ENSSSAG00000082084.1)". Lineage: Eukaryota; Metazoa; Chordata; Actinopteri; Salmoniformes; Salmonidae. The record is from RNAcentral.
UUGAUCUGGUACUCCCUGUAUAUAGCUCCACAUUGAUCUGGUACUCCCUGUAUAUAGCUCCACAUUGAUCUGGUACUCCCUGUAUAUAGCUCCACAUUGAGCCUGUACUUCCGUAUACUCCAGUGUAUUUAGUAUUAUUCCCCGUUUUACAUUAUUUAAUGUUUUAACUCUGCAUCGUUGAGAAGGGCUAGUAACCAAUCAUUACAUUGGGGACAUUGCCCUGUGUACGGUGCUGUCUUUCAGAUGGGAUGUUAAAUGGGUGUCCUGACUCUCUGAGGUCACUAAAGAUCCCAUGGCGCUUAUCGUAAGAGUAGGGGCGUUAACCCCUGGUGUCCUGGCUAAAUUCCCAAGAUGGCCACCUAAUCAUCCCCAGCUUCCAAUUGGCUCAUUCAUCCCCUUCCUCUCCCCUGUAACUAUUCCCCAGGUCGUUGCUGUAAAUGAGAACGUGUUCUCAGUCAACUUACCUGGUAAAAUAACGGUAAAAUAAAAAUAAAAUAUAAAACAAUGUUAAAGUCUACAAACAGUAGGUAUUCGGCACACGUGACAUAAAACUUGAUUUAUAGUUUUGAAGAAGAGGAUAUUUUCCAGAAGACCCAGGGGGUGGCGCCACCGUGUGGACAGCAGGUGUAAAUGCAGCAGCAGCGUAGCAACAUGAACGCUCUCCUUUCCUCCUCACUGCUCCCUCACCAGAGACGCCACAUGGACAUUAUACAUGGCUGCCUGCAGACGACACAAACAGACAAAGAUGGCCGUCAUAACCAACAUAAUAAAACAAUAACCUCUAGCUUAGGGUCAGGGGUCAGCUGUAUGAAGCCUACCUCAGGGUCAGGUGUCAGCUGUAUGAAGCCUACCUCAGGUCAGGGGUCAGCUGUAUGAAGCCUACCUCAGGGUCAGGUGUCAGCUGUAUGAAGCCUACCUCAGGGUCAGGGGUCAGCUGUAUGAAGCCUACCUCAGGGUCAGGGGUCAGCUGUAUGAAGCCUACCUCAGGGUCAGGAGAAACAGACAGGUCUCAGCUGGGUCAGGAGAAACAGACAGGUCUCAGCUGGGUCAGGAGAAACAGACAGGUCUCAGCUGGGUCAGGAGAAACAGACAGGUUUCAGCUGGGUCAGGAGAAACAGACAGGUCUCAGCUGGGUCAGGAGAAACAGACAGGUUUCAGCUGGGUCAGGAGAAACAGACAGGUCUCAGCUGGGUCAGGAGAAACAGACAGGUCUCAGCUGGGUCAG